This 468-nucleotide long non-coding RNA is filed under the name Cyanistes caeruleus (blue tit). RNAcentral describes it as "lncRNA (ENSCCEG00000015616.1)". The record is from RNAcentral. Lineage: Eukaryota; Metazoa; Chordata; Aves; Passeriformes; Paridae.
UAUGAAGAGAUGGAGAUAGGCACCAUAUGAACUGGUGGACCCUAAUCUGUUGGAGUUCCCAGCUCUUGUUGUGUGUGACAGCAAAAUAUGACUUACCUGUGCAGCAGAGCACAUCAGUAAUAUCUACCAGGGAAAAUAAUUUAAAUACCUUGGGAAGUGUACCAUAUGAAAUGAAGAUAAUGAGAACCACCUCCCAUAGUGGCUGAGGAAUGAUCAUCUAUCACACAUGCAGAAUGCAGAAGAUCCUUGCAGAUCCAGCAGACCAAGAGCAAGGUCAAAGGAGAGAUUCCAGGGAAGGUUCCAUUACAUGGAGUACCAAAUGGUGUUAGAGGAUUCUUCAUGCCAAAGUCACUUAGAGUGAACUGGGGUCAAGUUCAAAUAUGGGUCUUACACUUGUCCUCUGUGGGGUGAGCAUCAGGAUUUAUUGUGCUAUGGAAGAUUCUGUAACUGAUAAGGAAUUGUACUGAG